UUGACGGGACCGCACAAGCGGUGGAUGAUGUGGUUAAUUCGAUGCAACGCGAAAACCUUACCCACCUUUGACAUGGCAGGAAGUUUCCAGAGAUGGAUUCGUGCUCGAAAGAGAACCUGCACACAGGUGCUGCAUGGCUGUCGUCAGCUCGUGUCGUGAGAUGUUGGGUUAAGUCCCGCAACGAGCGCAACCCUUGCCAUCAGUUGCUACGAAAGGGCACUCUGAUGGGACUGCCGGUGACAAACCGGAGGAAGGUGGGGAUGACGUCAAGUCCUCAUGGCCCUUAUAGGUGGGGCUACACACGUCAUACAAUGGCCGGUACAAAGGGCAGCAAACCCGCGAGGGGGAGCCAAUCCAUCAAAGCCGGUCGUAGUCCGGAUCGCAGUCUGCAACUCGACUGCGUGAAGUCGGAAUCGCUAGUAAUCGUGGAUCAGCAUGUCACGGUGAAUACGUUCCCGGGUCUU
RNAcentral lists this ribosomal RNA (464 nucleotides) under uncultured Hydrogenophaga sp. RNAcentral's name for it is "bacterial SSU rRNA". It matches the Rfam family "Bacterial small subunit ribosomal RNA", at positions 910 to 1382 of the family's 1533-position model. Lineage: Bacteria; Pseudomonadati; Pseudomonadota; Betaproteobacteria; Burkholderiales; Comamonadaceae. The record is from RNAcentral.